CCUACGGGCGGCAGCAGUGGGGAAUAUUGCGCAAUGGGCGAAAGCCUGACGCAGCGACGCCGCGUGAGGGAUGAAGGUCUUCGGAUCGUAAACCUCUGUCAGCAGGGAAGAACGGUCACUGUGCUAAUCAGCAGUGAAUUGACGGUACCUGCAAAGGAAGCACCGGCUAACUCCGUGCCAGCAGCCGCGGUAAUACGGAGGGGGCGAGCGUUAAUCGGAAUUACUGGGCGUAAAGCGCUCGUAGGCGGUAUGUCAAGUCAAGGGUGAAAUCCCCGCGCUCAACGUGGGAACUGCCUUUGAAACUGGCAAACUGGAGUGUGUGAGAGGAUAGUGGAAUGCCAGGUGUAGGAGUGAAAUGCGUAGAUAUCUGGAGGAACAUCAGUGGCGAAGGCGACUAUCUGGCACAUAACUGACGCUGAGGAGCGAAAGCGUGGGUAGCAAACAGGAUUAGAUACCCUAGUAGUC
RNAcentral lists this ribosomal RNA (465 nucleotides) under uncultured bacterium. RNAcentral describes it as "partial 16S ribosomal RNA". It matches the Rfam family "Bacterial small subunit ribosomal RNA", at positions 338 to 795 of the family's 1533-position model. The record is from RNAcentral.